CCAGCAACGCCGCGUGAAUGAAGAAGGUUUUCGGAUUGUAAAGUUCUUUUAUUGGGGAAGAAAAAAAUGACGGUACCCAAUGAAUAAGCCCCGGCUAACUUCGUGCCAGCAGCCGCGGUAAUACGAAGGGGGCAAGCGUUGUCCGGAAUGACUGGGCGUAAAGGGUGUGUAGGCGGCUUUGUGCGUCGUAUGUGAAAUCUUGGGGCUCAACCCCAAAACUGCAUACGAUACGGCAGAGCUUGAAUGUGGGAGAGGUUCGUGGAAUUUGUGGUGUAGCGGUAGAAUGCGUAGAUAUCACAAGGAACAUCAGAGGCGAAGGCGGCGAACUGGACCAUUAUUGACGCUGAGACACGAAAGCGUGGGGAGCAAACAGGAUUAGAUACCCUGGUAGUCCACGCCCUAAACGAUGCUUACUAAACGUGGCGGGUAUCGACUCCCGCCGUGUUGUAGCUAACGCGAUAAGUAAGCCGCCUGUGUAGUACGGCCGCAAGGUUGAAACACAAAGAAAUUGACGGGGACCCGCACAAGCAGCGGAGCAUGUGGUUUAAUUCGAAGAUACGCGAAAAACCUUACCAGGACUUGACAUCCCUUGCAUAGCCGGGAAACCGGUGAAAGUUUAGCAAUAUUCCAAGGUGACAGAUGGUGCAUGGUUGUCGUCAGCUCGUGUCGUGAGAUGUUCGGUUAAGUCCGUCAACGAGCGCAACCCCUGCUUUCAGUUGCCAGCAUUAAGUUGGGCACUCUGGAGGGACUGCCGUAGUUAAUACGGAGGAAGGUGGGGAUGACGUCAAAUCAUCAUGCCUCUUACGUUCUGGGCUACACACGUGCUACAAUGGUGACCACAAACAGUUGCAAAAUAGUAAUAUCGAGCCAAUCUGAAAAAAGUCAUCUCAAUUCGGAUUGUGGGCUGAAACUCGCCCACAUGAAGUCGGAGUUGCUAGUAAUCGUGAAUCAGCACGUCACGGUGAAUGCGUUCCCGGGUCUUGUACACACCGCCCGCCAAGCUAUGGGAGUUGGGAGCAUCCAAAGCCGCUGAGUUAACCGCGAGGGGACAGGCGUCUAAGGUGAGACCAGUGACUGGAGUUAAGGCGUAACAAGGUAGCCGUAGGAGAACCUGCGGCUGGAUCACCUCCUUU
RNAcentral lists this ribosomal RNA (1133 nucleotides) under Christensenellaceae bacterium. RNAcentral describes it as "bacterial SSU rRNA". It matches the Rfam family "Bacterial small subunit ribosomal RNA", at positions 388 to 1533 of the family's 1533-position model. The record is from RNAcentral. Lineage: Bacteria; Bacillati; Bacillota; Clostridia; Christensenellales; Christensenellaceae.